This 801-nucleotide long non-coding RNA is filed under the name Heterocephalus glaber (naked mole-rat). RNAcentral's name for it is "lncRNA (ENSHGLG00100032938.1)". Lineage: Eukaryota; Metazoa; Chordata; Mammalia; Rodentia; Bathyergidae. The record is from RNAcentral.
CUCAGUGGUUCCGGCGCCUGCCUGGCAAGCUCAAAGUCCGGAGUUUGAUCCCCAGUAGCAAACAAAACAAAACAAAACGAACAAAAAAUCUACUAUCUAUUGAACAAAGCAUUGAACCAGGCACAGUGUUUUGUAUUUUGCAUUUAUUAUCUCGUCUAAUGCUAAUAGCAACUUCCGGCAAGAAAACUGAAUAAACAAAAAUUGGAUAACCAAGUUACCCAGAUGAUGAAUGGCUUCUAGUCCGGACCUACUGAGCAAACCCUUCAGCUUUCUGACAUGGACACACACAGGACUCUACACUGAGCUCCAGACCUUCAGCCUUCAACUGGAUCCUCUGACUCUCCAGUUACAGAUGACGCUUUUGCUAUCUUCUACCCUUGACUCCACAGGCAGCCACUAUGAAAAAUGUGAUAGAAAUAAGAGACCCAGAGGAGAUCUGAUAUUCACUAAGCUAUGAAGGAGCAUAUUCCUGAGUCCCACUCAGCAAUCAAGAGACCUGGCUGUCUUGCUCUCCACUUUCUCCAGAAGACACCGCUACAGAGGCUUUUACUUAGGAAGGCCUUCCACCCAGACCUGCACCAAGAACCCUGCUGUCUCAUGGCAGUGCUGUCCUCAUUUUUUGAUUAGCAGCCUCCUUGGCCAUACAUGUCUGCCUAAACAGUAAUCUGACUUUUACUCCCCGACACCCCGCUCCUCCUACCGCACUGGUCACUGUGCUCUAAACGGUGAAUCCUGGCUUGAUACCUGUUUUCUCCUUCCUUUUGUCUAGUAAUUUCUGUAUUUCUAUCAGCCCUAGUCCCC